Molecule: long non-coding RNA, 2934 nt
Organism: Junco hyemalis (dark-eyed junco)
Lineage: Eukaryota; Metazoa; Chordata; Aves; Passeriformes; Passerellidae
Source: Ensembl
CUCAGGCACAGUGAUGCUGACAAUGUGGAGUGUGAUCCUGGAGAAGAACUCUCCAUUUUUCUCCAAAAGGCAGGAAUCUGUUAGUUGUGAUCCCUCAAGAUCUUCAUGGCCAAUGAUCCCACUAAUUCCUGAUUUUGUUUCCUCCCUACCAGGUGUGUUUGUGAGAUGAACAAAAACCCUUUGGGCUUGGAGUCAGAGUUUGCUGGACUCAAGACUAAUCCCACCAGUUUCAAAGAGGACUUGGGAGUUCUUUUUGAGAAGCUUUUCCCACUUUGAGAGGAAAGCUAAUUGUCUGUGGGCUGCAUCCAAAGGAGAGUGGGCAGGAUGGUGAGGGAGAGGUUUUUCUGCUCUGGUGAGAUCCCACUGGAAAUGCUGUGUCCAGUUUUGGUGUCCCCAACGUAAGAAGGACAUGGAAUUGUUGGAGCAAGUCCAGAGGAGGCCAUGAAAUUGAUUAGAGGAGCCCCUCCCCUAUGGAGCCAGUCUGGGAAGGUUGGGAAUGUUCAGACUGGAGGAGAGGAGGUUGGGAAUAAUCAGCCUGAAGACCUCAGAGCCCCUGCAGGAUCUGCAGGAGCUCCAGGGAAGCUGGAGAAGAACUUUUCCUCAGGAAUGGCAGGGACAGGACACAGGGAAUGGGGUCAGGAUGAAAGAGGGGAAAAUUAUGUUGGAUAUAGGAAAGAUCUGUUGAUGAGCACCUGCUCCAGCACAGGAGGCUGGAGAGCAUUUCCCAACAGAACGUUUUGGAUGUUUUACUUAUUUUUUUGGGAAGCAAACUGACAAAGGAGAAUAGAGCCUCACAAACCAGUUCUGUCCGUGCACAGAAAUCUUUAUUUCCCAUCACAUUCAUGGCACAGAGGAGCCACCUGGGAGUUCACAGCACAGAGAUGCAGCACCAAGGGAACACAAGGGACGUGGAUGUGCUGGGGAAAAACUUGGAGGGCAAAGACUUGGCCGUUCCUGAUGGGAACCGGAGCUGCCCAGGGCUCUUACUUCUGCUGGCAGGGCCAGCUGGAGCUCUGCUUGGUCUGGUGGGACACCACGCUGGGGAUGACAACGGGACAUUUCUGCUGCGAGGAGCUUCCGCCGCCACCUCCAGAGCUGAUGAUGAUGGUCUGGCCCGAGGAGCCACCACUGGAUCCGCCACCGCAGCAUCCAGAGGAUCCACCGCCGCCUCCCCCUCCCAUGAUGAUCUUCCCUCCUGAAGAGCCACCACCGGAUCCUCCUCCACAGCAUCCAGAGGAGCCUCCUCCUCCUCCUCCACCACCAGAGCUGAUGAUGAUCUUCUGGGCUGAUCCCCCACUGCCACCGCCGGAUCCUCCACCACAGCACCCACCACCUCCACCGCCUCCACCUCCCAUCAUGCUCUUUGAGGAGCCACCACCAGAUCCUCCACCGCAGCAGGAUCCGCCUCCUCCCCCGCCGGAGGAGCCCUGGGACUGUUGGCUGCCCCGGCAGCAGCAGCAGCAGCCACAGCCGUGGCACCCGCUUUGUCUGGAGCACAUCUUGGAGCAGUGACCCUGCAAGGAAAAGCUUUUUACUCCAGGGCAGCCACCAGUUCUCUCGAGGCUUGUGACCCCACUCCAGCCCAACGCCACUUGGUAGUGGCCAGGAUCAUAUUUUAAAGAUUUUUAUCCUAAAGUUGUCCCAUCUCCUUAUUCCGAAGACAUUCCACCUCCAUCUCAAUGCUGAUGAGAGACAACCUUCAGCAGCACAGGCUGAUCCUGCUUCUGUUUGGUCUGGUGGGACCAAGGCAUUCACAAGAGAUUUAAAUUCACCCCAGCAACUUCCCUGCUCUUCCAGAUGUUUUUCACCAAAACUUUUGCAUUUUGGAAGCAGGAAAGGAAGAGAAGGAUCCCUCCAUUGGGCAGGCAUGGACUUACCCUUCUCGGCUCUGACCACGGACACCUCAGGGAAAAGCUGAGCGAAUGAAGCACCCCGAGAUCCACCAACUUUUAUACUGCUUUUCCUGAGUGGGAAGUGAGGCAUCCAAAGGAAUGGUGAUAGGUUUAUUUACCAAACAGAUUCUCCUCCUCCAUCCCACUUGUCCUGACUCACUGGGAUGCGGACAAUGCCUCUCCCGUGCAUCACUUCCUCGGCUGCCCUGCAUCCAUGGCAGGUCCCACACGUGAGCUCGGCUCCUGUGGUUGAAUUCCCAAGGUUGAAUUCCUUCUGGGGCUCCGGAAGGAUUCUGGAAGUUGCCACCCUGCACUCCAGCCGGGAGAUGCCGCUGGUGACUGACACCAGAAAGGGGCUGGGGAGCUUCAUUUUAUUGGGUGUUACACACUGGAGGAACAGGGGGGAUUUAUGGGGUGUCUGUGUAAGGCUGGGAAUUGAAUUCUGAUGAUCUUUGGGGGUCCCUUUAACCUCAGGAUAUUCUGUGAUUCCACAGUGGAGAUUCCCAGGGGAACAGGGGUGGGACUGGAAUUUCUGGGGCACCACAGGAAUCCCUCGUGGCUGUGGGAGAUUUCCCACCACAGCAGGGAAAGGUUGAUGGGGAUUUUUGUUUGGAUCUCCCACUCAGGAGAGACCAGAGGUCAGGCAGGCCCCACCACAUCAAGUGAUGGAGAUGGAGGGGUACCAGAUCCAUCAUCCCCCCUGUAAAGCAGCAUCUCCAUGGAUAUGGACCAAAAGGAUGAAUUUCUGCUCAUUUUGGGCAUAACUCUGUCGUUUCUGAAGAAGGAACAAGAUUUGAGGCUGUGCUGUGCCUCCUGCUGUCACUCUGAGAAUUUCUGUCAUUUGGAUCCUGGUUUUCUUGAUCCUGAGCCAUUUCUGGGUGCAGAAAUUUCUGACAGCACCAUUCCCACCCCCCUGAUGUGGGACCCCAAACUCUGGCUUUGCUCUGUGCCAGCAAUGUCACUGUUUGUGCAGUUCCAAGCCACUGGGAUUUUACCCCCAAUGACUUCCCAUAAUAAAAUCCCAGGAAACUCAGCUAUUCCA